ACUCACCAUAGUUUAUUAUAAAACAUCGACCUGCAAAAUUGAAAAAAGAUUUAUUCUUGGUGUGUU
RNAcentral lists this transfer RNA (66 nucleotides) under Lilliconus sagei. RNAcentral's name for it is "tRNA-Cys". The record is from RNAcentral. Lineage: Eukaryota; Metazoa; Mollusca; Gastropoda; Neogastropoda; Conidae.